UACGAAGGUCCCAAGCGUUGUUCGGAUUUACUGGGCGUAAAGCGUCUGUAGGCGGCGCGGUAAGUCAGAUGUGAAAUCCCGGGGCUCAACCCCGGAACUGCAUCCGAUACUGCCGUGCUAGAGUAUUGGAGGGGAGUCUGGAAUUCUCGGUGUAGCAGUGAAAUGCGUAGAUAUCGAGAGGAACACUAGUGGCGAAGGCGAGACUCUGGACAAUAACUGACGCUGAGAGACGAAGGCCAGGGUAGCGAAA
Molecule: ribosomal RNA, 250 nt
Filed under: uncultured bacterium
Lineage: Bacteria
Description: partial 16S ribosomal RNA
Rfam family: Bacterial small subunit ribosomal RNA
Source: RNAcentral